AUUUAAACUGAUGAAGCCCUUCUGAUUCCCUUUCUUCCUCCAAUAUCGACCUCAUCGCUCUCCCUCUCUCUCUCUCUCUCUCUCUGAAAGGCUUGAGUGUUUCUACUUCGGUGAACAGUUGGAAUCAAAAACCCUAGCCGGAGCCAUUUGUCGCCCGCACUAAAUGCCCGGAUACAAACUACUUGUUUAUGGGGGAUUACGUGGAUGGAGGGUAUUAUUCUGUUGAAACUGUCACACUAUUGGUGGCUGUGAAAGUACGAUAUCCUCAACGAAUUACUAUUUUAAGAGGGAAUCAUGAAAGCCGGCAGGUCGAGAAUUUAGCUGCACCAGUUGCAGAAUGGACAGUUGGCGGAACUCCAUUGACUUCAUUAAUGGACGUUGAGAGGAGACAUGUUUAAACAAAUCCCAUUCUGUUAGUGAAGGCGGCGGUAAUGACGGUCGUGGUGCUGAUUGUGGUGCUGGUUGGGACGUGGAGGUGGUGGCGAUAUAAUGGCCAUGGGUAACACUGUCCUUUUUGGUGCUACUGCUGGAGAAGGGCAAUCUGCAGCUACACUUAUCGAGGUCUUUUUUUAAUUCGUCUAAAACUUUAAGGUUGACUACACUAUUCGCAAGGUCGGCUCACAAGGAAAAAGGUAGUGGUGGUGGCUGUUGCGGUUGGAGUGGUGAGCGUUGCGGUUGGACUCCGCAUAUCGAUUUUCUACGGAACGCGGAUUAGUAGUGUUGUAUGUUGUCGUUUUAACUUUCUUCUUCAGUUUUCCCUAAUUGUGCCUGUAGGGUGAGAGUUUGAAAUAAUAGAAGCAUUCCAAGAAUACCAUACUUAUGCGACUCAAGCCAGACUCAAACAACUUUACAGAUCGAGAGUUGACGACGGAUCAAUCAUUUCAAGAAGAUAGGUUUGAUCAAGACUUCAAGAAAAUGCAUACAAAUCCCAUUAAGAACAGGCUAUCCAACUUUAAUCAGAGUAUAUAAAAGGGAGAAUUGGUGUAUAGGGAAGAGAUUGUACAAAUUUUAUAGAGACAAUGAGGUUCAAGAUGAAUUAAUACAGCAGCCUUUUCCGGCUUUGAAUUAGACUUCUGCGAGUUUCAUAUAUACAACUUAUAUAUGAUUUUUUAAUCGUUUUAAGGUUUGCAUUAUAUUUCUGCCUCA
Helianthus annuus (common sunflower) is the source of this 1146-nucleotide long non-coding RNA. RefSeq lists it as uncharacterized. NCBI's taxonomy places the organism in Eukaryota, Viridiplantae, Streptophyta, Magnoliopsida, Asterales, Asteraceae. The transcript has 9 exons. The record is from RefSeq and is a predicted model, not a curated record.